AUGCUUGUCUCAAAGAUUAAGCCAUGCAUGUCUAAGUAUAAGCAAUUUAUACAGUGAAACUGCGAAUGGCUCAUUAAAUCAGUUAUCGUUUAUUUGAUAGUACCUUACUACUUGGAUAACCGUGGUAAUUCUAGAGCUAAUACAUGCUUAAAAUCCCGACUGUUUGGAAGGGAUGUAUUUAUUAGAUAAAAAAUCAAUGUCUUCGGACUCUUUGAUGAUUCAUAAUAACUUUUCGAAUCGCAUGGCCUUGUGCUGGCGAUGGUUCAUUCAAAUUUCUGCCCUAUCAACUUUCGAUGGUAGGAUAGUGGCCUACCAUGGUUUCAGCGGGUAACGGGGAAUAAGGGUUCGAUUCCGGAGAGGGAGCCUGAGAAACGGCUACCACAUCCAAGGAAGGCAGCAGGCGCGCAAAUUACCCAAUCCCGACACGGGGAGGUAGUGACAAUAAAUAACGAUACAGGGCCCUUUCGGGUCUUGUAAUUGGAAUGAGUACAAUGUAAAUACCUUAACGAGGAACAAUUGGAGGGCAAGUCUGGUGCCAGCAGCCGCGGUAAUUCCAGCUCCAAAACGUAUAUUAAAGUUGUUGCAGUUAAAAAGCUCGUAGUUGAACCUUGGGCUUGGUUGGCCGGUCCAUCUUUCUGAUGCGUACUGGACCCAACCGAGCCUUUCCUUCUGGCUAGCCUUUUGGCGAACCAGGACUUUUACUUUGAA
RNAcentral lists this ribosomal RNA (708 nucleotides) under Candida tropicalis. Its description in RNAcentral is "SSU rRNA". It matches the Rfam family "Eukaryotic small subunit ribosomal RNA", at positions 28 to 761 of the family's 1831-position model. Lineage: Eukaryota; Fungi; Ascomycota; Pichiomycetes; Serinales; Debaryomycetaceae. The record is from RNAcentral.